GACGAACGCUGGCGGCGUGCUUAACACAUGCAAGUCGAACGAUGAAGCCGGAGCUUGCUCUGGUGAAUUAGUGGCGAACGGGUGAGUAACACGUGAGUAACCUGCCCUUGACUCUGGGAUAAGUGCUAGAAAUGGUAGCUAAUACCGGAUACGACCCUCGGAGGCAUCUCCAGGGGGUGGAAAGAUUUUCGGUCAAGGAUGGAUUCGCGGCCUAUCAGCUAGUUGGGGAGGUAACGGCUCACCAAGGCGACGGCGGGUAGCCGGCCUGAGAGGGUGACCGGCCACACUGGGACUGGGACACGGCCCAGACUCCUACGGGAGGCAGCAGUGGGGAAUAUUGCACAAUGGGCGCAAGCCUGAUGCAGCAACGCCGCGUGAGGGAUGACGGCCUUCGGGUUGUAAACCUCUUUUAGUAGGGAAGAAGCGAAAGUGACGGUACCUGCAGAAAAAGCACCGGCUAACUACGUGCCAGCCGCCGCCGUAA
This 484-nucleotide ribosomal RNA is filed under the name uncultured bacterium. RNAcentral describes it as "partial 16S ribosomal RNA". It matches the Rfam family "Bacterial small subunit ribosomal RNA", at positions 28 to 523 of the family's 1533-position model. The record is from RNAcentral.